RNAcentral lists this transfer RNA (89 nucleotides) under Burkholderia cepacia. RNAcentral's name for it is "tRNA-Leu". It matches the Rfam family "tRNA". From Rfam's summary of the family: Transfer RNA (tRNA) molecules are approximately 80 nucleotides in length. RNAcentral also lists the same sequence under 3 other names. Lineage: Bacteria; Pseudomonadati; Pseudomonadota; Betaproteobacteria; Burkholderiales; Burkholderiaceae. The record is from RNAcentral.
CGGACAGUGGCGCAGCUGGUAGACGCCCGCGCCUUAAAAGCGACGAGUCCCGUGAGGGAAUGAGAGUUCGAGUCUCUCCUGUCCGACCA